Molecule: transfer RNA, 75 nt
Filed under: Erythrobacter aureus
Lineage: Bacteria; Pseudomonadati; Pseudomonadota; Alphaproteobacteria; Sphingomonadales; Erythrobacteraceae
Description: tRNA-Thr
Source: RNAcentral
GCGGUUUUCCGCAAAGUCCUUUGGACGAAAUUCGUAAUGAUGGGGUCACAGGUUCGAGUCCUGUAAGCGGCACCA